This 497-nucleotide ribosomal RNA is filed under the name uncultured bacterium. Its description in RNAcentral is "partial 16S ribosomal RNA". It matches the Rfam family "Bacterial small subunit ribosomal RNA", at positions 28 to 507 of the family's 1533-position model. The record is from RNAcentral.
GAUGAACGCUGGCGGCGUGCCUAAUACAUGCAAGUCGAGCGAACAGACGAGGAGCUUGCUCCUCUGACGUUAGCGGCGGACGGGUGAGUAACACAUGGAUAACCUACCUAUAAGACUGGGAUAACUUCGGGAAACCGGAGCUAAUACCGGAGAAUAUAUUGAACCGCAUGGUUCAAUAGUGAAAGACGGUUUUGCUGUCACUUAUAGAUGGAUCCGCGCCGCAUUAGCUAGUUGGUAAGGUAACGGCUUACCAAGGCAACGAUGCGUAGCCGACCUGAGAGGGUGAUCGGCCACACUGGAACGGAGACACGGUCCAGACUCCUACGGGAGGCAGCAGUAGGGAAUCUUCCGCAAUGGGCGAAAGCCUGACGGAGCAACGCCGCGUGAGUGAUGAAGGUCUUCGGAUCGUAAAACUCUGUUAUUAGGGAAGAACAAAUGUGUAAGUAACUAUGCACGUCUUGACGGUACCUAAUCAGAAAGCCACGGCUAACUACGUG